AUUGAACGCUGGCGGCAGGCCUAACACAUGCAAGUCGAGCGGAUGAAGGGAGCUUGCUCCUGGAUUCAGCGGCGGACGGGUGAGUAAUGCCUAGGAAUCUGCCUGGUAGUGGGGGAUAACGUCCGGAAACGGGCGCUAAUACCGCAUACGUCCUGAGGGAGAAAGUGGGGGAUCUUCGGACCUCACGCUAUCAGAUGAGCCUAGGUCGGAUUAGCUAGUUGGUGGGGUAAAGGCCUACCAAGGCGACGAUCCGUAACUGGUCUGAGAGGAUGAUCAGUCACACGGGAACUGAGACACGGACCAGACUACUACGGGAGGCAGCAGUGGGGAAUAUUGGACAAUGGGCGAAAGCCUGAUCCAGCCAUGCCGCGUGUGUGAAGAAGGUCUUCGGAUUGUAAAGCACUUUAAGUUGGGAGGAAGGGCAGUAAGUUAAUACCUUGCUGUUUUGACGUUACCAACAGAAUAAGCACCGGCUAACUUCGUG
This 484-nucleotide ribosomal RNA is filed under the name uncultured bacterium. RNAcentral describes it as "partial 16S ribosomal RNA". It matches the Rfam family "Bacterial small subunit ribosomal RNA", at positions 30 to 507 of the family's 1533-position model. The record is from RNAcentral.